UACGAAGGGGGCUAGCGUUGCUCGGAAUUACUGGGCGUAAAGCGCACGUAGGCGGCUUGUUAAGUCAGGGGUGAAAUCCUGGAGCUCAACUCCAGAACUGCCUUUGAUACUGGCGAUCUCGAGUCCGGGAGAGGUGAGUGGAACUGCGAGUGUAGAGGUGAAAUUCGUAGAUAUUCGCAAGAACACCAGUGGCGAAGGCGGCGCACUGGCCCGGAACUGACGCUGAGGCGCGAAAGCGUGGGGAGCAAACAGG
RNAcentral lists this ribosomal RNA (253 nucleotides) under uncultured bacterium. Its description in RNAcentral is "partial 16S ribosomal RNA". It matches the Rfam family "Bacterial small subunit ribosomal RNA", at positions 524 to 776 of the family's 1533-position model. The record is from RNAcentral.